Molecule: non-coding RNA, 993 nt
Organism: Arachis ipaensis
Lineage: Eukaryota; Viridiplantae; Streptophyta; Magnoliopsida; Fabales; Fabaceae
Source: RefSeq, a predicted model, not a curated record
GAUUUUUCGUGUCCUUGUUCAUUUUAAUUUUGGCAGGUUGCUUCUCUUAGAGAAGGUGUAUCCCUAGAAACCAAACUUCUGAGUAGGUAAGCUAGCUUGUUUGCUAUUUAUGUAGGAAGGAAGCUGUUUUGUGACAAAGAGAGGGUGCUCUCAAGGCUGGCAAACAAACACAGGAUGAGAGAGAUGAGGAAAUUAUAGCCCUUCGUGUGAAAAUUCAGAAUCUAAAAGAUGAUACAGCAGCAGCAGCUUUUGAACAACAGCAAGAAGCUUCAAUCUUUCCCCUGUUUCUGGAUUUUGAUCUCUGCCUCCAAAGGAGAAGAAAAGGUGAGUUUCUCUUCCAUUUUUUCAUUUUGCUUCUGAUUCAUGUUGAUUUUCUCUGGAACCAUGUUGACAUUCUGGUAGGAUAUUCUUAUUUAAUUGAUUUAGUUGAAUGCAUGUGACUGUAAGCUAAUUAGCAAGUAGGCUUGGUUUUGGCUGGGUAGGAAGAUCAUUGAUUCUUAUUUUAGUUGAAUGCAUAUUGGUCUAGGAUAAUUAUUGGUGAUUAUAUGUCUUUGCAUGUGAUGUUUUACAGCUUGAUUAUUGAUUCACUUUUGUUGGAUUAUCUGGUUUAUGUUGAUGAUGAUAGUAGUUGCAUGUGAUGUUUUACAGCUUGAUUAUUGGUCAAAGUGCCUUUUCAGUUUAUCAGUAGCAUUUGGCUAACCAACCUGUGAAUGUUCUUCGUGAACUUCUUGAGUUCAAAAGUGAUCGUGCUCCAAUACCUGUAGGGAAGGUUGAACCUGCUUCAGCUAUUGUGCAUCGAUUCUGCACUUGUGGGAUGUCUCUUGGAGCUAUUUCAAGAGAAACUCAUGAAGCAAUUGCAAUUGCAAUGAACAGAUUAGGUGGAAUAUAUGUAAAAUUGUGUAAAAUUUAGUAUGGUUGAACAAUAUACUGAGGAUUAUAGUUGAUAAUACACUUUGUUUAUGUUUUGAAUUAUAUUGACUUGCUUGUUUAUAA